GAACGAAGCACUUGAAUGGAAUUCUUCGGAAGGGAGCUCAAGUGACUGAGUGGCGGACGGGUGAGUAACGCGUGGGUAACCUGCCUCAUACAGGGGGAUAACAGUUAGAAAUGACUGCUAAUACCGCAUAAGCACACGUGAUCGCAUGAUCGAGUGUGAAAAACUCCGGUGGUAUGAGAUGGACCCGCGUCUGAUUAGCUAGUUGGUGGGGUAAUGGCCCACCAAGGCGACGAUCAGUAGCCGGCCUGAGAGGGUGAACGGCCACAUUGGGACUGAGACACGGCCCAAACUCCUACGGGAGGCAGCAGUGGGGAAUAUUGCACAAUGGGGGAAACCCUGAUGCAGCGACGCCGCGUGAAGGAUGAAGUAUUUCGGUAUGUAAACUUCUAUCAGCAGGGAAGAAAAUGACGGUACCUGACUAAGAAGCCCCGGCUAACUACGUGCCAGCAGCCGCGGUAAUACGUAGGGGGCAAGCGUUAUCCGGAUUUACUGGGUGUAAAGGGAGCGUAGACGGCAGUGCAAGUCUGAAGUGAAAGCCCGGGGCUCAACCCCGGGACUGCUUUGGAAACUGUGCAGCUAGAGUGUCGGAGAGGCAAGCGGAAUUCCUAGUGUAGCGGUGAAAUGCGUAGAUAUUAGGAGGAACACCAGUGGCGAAGGCG
Molecule: ribosomal RNA, 659 nt
Filed under: uncultured Lachnospiraceae bacterium
Lineage: Bacteria; Bacillati; Bacillota; Clostridia; Lachnospirales; Lachnospiraceae
Description: bacterial SSU rRNA
Rfam family: Bacterial small subunit ribosomal RNA
Source: RNAcentral